AUCUAUGUAUUGCCUUUUUUGAUAACCACUCCCUGUUCUUAUUAGCUUAAUAAGUGAUACGGAUUCUUUUUGUAUUCAAGAUAAUAAACUUAUUUUUGAAAUGCGAAGCAGUACUUGAAGCUCUCUUCAACUCCGCCACGGGUUCGCCCGGUAUUGCACUAUCUCCGGGAGUGGCCCACUCGCC
Small nuclear RNA from Rhipicephalus microplus (southern cattle tick), 184 nucleotides. The record is from RefSeq and is a predicted model, not a curated record. NCBI's taxonomy places the organism in Eukaryota, Metazoa, Arthropoda, Arachnida, Ixodida, Ixodidae.